UCUCUCUCUGACAAAUAAAUAAAUAAAAUCUUAAAAAAAAAAAAAAUAAGAAUAUGAUCUUUGUAUACAAUCCAGAGGCUAUUGAGUGUGUCAGUUAUUUUCAAAUGUAUCCAUUAACCAUUCAGAAGUAAAGAAGAAUGAGAGAGGGAGGAGGGAA
Molecule: long non-coding RNA, 157 nt
Organism: Lutra lutra (Eurasian river otter)
Lineage: Eukaryota; Metazoa; Chordata; Mammalia; Carnivora; Mustelidae
Exons: 3
Source: RefSeq, a predicted model, not a curated record